This 271-nucleotide ribosomal RNA is filed under the name uncultured archaeon. RNAcentral's name for it is "partial 16S ribosomal RNA". It matches the Rfam family "Archaeal small subunit ribosomal RNA", at positions 477 to 747 of the family's 1478-position model. The record is from RNAcentral.
CAGCGCCACGAGUAGCAAUCAGUUUUAUUGGGCCUAAAGCGUCCGUAGCUGGUUGAAUAAAUCUUUUGUGAAAUUGUCGGGCUAAACCUGACAGCGUGCAGAAGACACUGUUCAACUUGGGACCGGGAGGAGUCAGAGGUAUUCGGUGGGUAGCGGUAAAAUGCUAUAAUCCUCCGAAGACCACCUGUGGCGAAGGCGUCUGACUAGAACGGGUCCGACAGUGAGGGACGAAAGCCAGGGGAGCAAUCCGGAUUAGAUACCCGAGUAGUCC